UGAGGCAGGAGAAUUGCUUGAACCCAGGAGGUAGAGGCUGCAAUGAGCCGAGAUCAUGCCACUGCACUCCAGCCUGGGUGACAGAGCGAGACUCCAUCUC
Molecule: microRNA precursor, 100 nt
Filed under: Gorilla gorilla gorilla (western lowland gorilla)
Lineage: Eukaryota; Metazoa; Chordata; Mammalia; Primates; Hominidae
Description: miRNA (ENSGGOG00000039518.1)
Source: RNAcentral